This 465-nucleotide ribosomal RNA is filed under the name uncultured bacterium. RNAcentral describes it as "bacterial SSU rRNA". It matches the Rfam family "Bacterial small subunit ribosomal RNA", at positions 330 to 793 of the family's 1533-position model. The record is from RNAcentral.
UCCAGACUCCUACGGGAGGCAGCAGUGAGGAAUAUUGGUCAAUGGGCGGGAGCCUGAACCAGCCAAGCCGCGUGAGGGAAGAAGGUACAGCGUAUCGUAAACCUCUUUUGUCAGGGAACAAAGGCGGGGACUAGUCCCCGGAUGAGGGUACCUGAAGAAAAAGCAUCGGCUAACUCCGUGCCAGCAGCCGCGGUAAUACGGAGGAUGCGAGCGUUAUCCGGAUUUAUUGGGUUUAAAGGGUGCGCAGGCGGGCUGUUAAGCCGGCGGUAAAAAUUCAGGGCUCAACCCUGUCGAGCCGUCGGAACUGGCAGUCUUGAGUGGGCGAGAAGUAUGCGGAAUGCGUGGUGUAGCGGUGAAAUGCAUAGAUAUCACGCAGAACGCCGAUUGCGAAGGCAGCAUACCGGCGCCCAACUGACGCUGAGGCACGAAAGCGUGGGGAUCGAACAGGAUUAGAUACCCUUGUAA